This 80-nucleotide transfer RNA is filed under the name Trametes cinnabarina. RNAcentral's name for it is "Pycnoporus cinnabarinus tRNA". It matches the Rfam family "tRNA". Rfam says of the family: Transfer RNA (tRNA) molecules are approximately 80 nucleotides in length. The record is from Rfam by way of RNAcentral. Lineage: Eukaryota; Fungi; Basidiomycota; Agaricomycetes; Polyporales; Polyporaceae.
GGGCGUUUGGCACAGUGGUAGCGCGCACGCUUUGCACUGAUGAUUGCGUGAGGUCCAGGGUUCAAACCCCUGAACGUCCA